This 24-nucleotide small nuclear RNA is filed under the name Arabidopsis thaliana (thale cress). RNAcentral describes it as "snRNA_18961". Lineage: Eukaryota; Viridiplantae; Streptophyta; Magnoliopsida; Brassicales; Brassicaceae. The record is from RNAcentral.
AAGAAAUAACAUAAAGACUCAAAA